UGGGGAAUCUUGCGCAAUGGCCGCAAGGCUGACGCAGCGACGCCGCGUGUAGGAGGACGCCCCUCGGGGUGUAAACUACUGUUGCCCGGGACGAACCGGCCUACUCGUAGGCCCUGACGGUACCGGGUGAGGAAGCACCGGCUAACUCCGUGCCAGCAGCCGCGGUAAUACGGAGGGUGCGAGCGUUGUCCGGAAUCACUGGGCGUAAAGGGCGCGUAGGUGGCCGUGGCAAGCGUGCGGUGAAAGCCCGGGGCUCAACCCCGGGUCGGCCGUGCGGACUGCCGGGCUGGGGCCCACUAGGGGCAGGCGGAAUUCCGGGUGUAGCGGUGGAAUGCGUAGAGAUCCGGAAGAACACCGGUGGCGAAGGCGGCCUGCUGGGGUGGAGCCGACACUGAGGCGCGACAGCGUGGGGAGCAAACAG
This 421-nucleotide ribosomal RNA is filed under the name uncultured bacterium. RNAcentral describes it as "bacterial SSU rRNA". It matches the Rfam family "Bacterial small subunit ribosomal RNA", at positions 355 to 775 of the family's 1533-position model. The record is from RNAcentral.